AUCUACCCUUGGUCAGGUUGAAGUUCAGGUAACACUGAAUGGAGGACCGAACCGACUUACGUUGAAAAGUGAGCGGAUGAACUGAGGGUAGCGGAGAAAUUCCAAUCGAACCUGGAGAUAGCUGGUUCUCUCCGAAAUAGCUUUAGGGCUAGCCUCAAGUGAUGAUUAUUGGAGGUAGAGCACUGUUUGGACGAGGGGCCCCUCUCGGGUUACCGAAUUCAGACAAACUCCGAAUGCCAAUUAAUUUAACUUGGGAGUCAGAACAUGGGUGAUAAGGUCCGUGUUCGAAAGGGAAACAGCCCAGACCACCAGCUAAGGUCCCAAAAUAUAUGUUAAGUGGAAAAGGAUGUGGCGUUGCCCAGACAACUAGGAUGUUGGCUUAGAAGCAGCCAUCAUUUAAAGAGUGCGUAAUAGCUCACUAGUCGAGUGACACUGCGCCGAAAAUGUACCGGGGCUAAACAUAUUACCGAAGCUGUGGAUUGUCCUUUGGACAAUGGUAGGAGAGCGUUCUAAGGGCGUUGAAGCAUGAUCGUAAGGACAUGUGGAGCGCUUAGAAGUGAGAAUGCCGGUGUGAGUAGCGAAAGACGGGUGAGAAUCCCGUCCACCGAUUGACUAAGGUUUCCAGAGGAAGGCUCGUCCGCUCUGGGUUAGUCGGGUCCUAAGCUGAGGCCGACAGGCGUAGGCGAUGGAUAACAGGUUGAUA
This 703-nucleotide ribosomal RNA is filed under the name Staphylococcus aureus. Its description in RNAcentral is "partial 23S ribosomal RNA". It matches the Rfam family "Bacterial large subunit ribosomal RNA", at positions 728 to 1435 of the family's 2925-position model. Lineage: Bacteria; Bacillati; Bacillota; Bacilli; Caryophanales; Staphylococcaceae. The record is from RNAcentral.